Molecule: ribosomal RNA, 344 nt
Filed under: uncultured Streptococcus sp.
Lineage: Bacteria; Bacillati; Bacillota; Bacilli; Lactobacillales; Streptococcaceae
Description: bacterial SSU rRNA
Rfam family: Bacterial small subunit ribosomal RNA
Source: RNAcentral
CGGUUCCGUACGUACGUCGUCGGUUCGUACGUGAGAUGUUGGGUUAAGUCCCGCAACGAGCGCAACCCCUAUUGUUGGUUGCCAUCAUUCAGUUGGGCACUCUAGCGAGACUGCCGGUAAUAAACCGGAGGAAGGUGGGGAUGACGUCAAAUCAUCAUGCCCCUUAUGACCUGGGCUACACACGUGCUACAAUGGUUGGUACAACGAGUUGCGAGUCGGUGACGGCGAGCUAAUCUCUUAAAGCCAAUCUCAGUUCGGAUUGUAGGCCGCAACUCGCCUACAUGAAGUCGGAAUCGCUAGUAAUCGCGGAUCAGCACGCCGCGGUGAAUACGUUCCCGGGCCUU